RNAcentral lists this ribosomal RNA (517 nucleotides) under uncultured fungus. RNAcentral's name for it is "SSU rRNA". It matches the Rfam family "Eukaryotic small subunit ribosomal RNA", at positions 214 to 731 of the family's 1831-position model. The record is from RNAcentral. Lineage: Eukaryota; Fungi.
AUAAAAAACCAAUGCCCUUCGGGGCUCUUUGGUGAUUCAUGAUAACUUAACGAAUCGCAUGGCCUUGUGCCGGCGAUGGUUCAUUCAAAUUUCUGCCCUAUCAACUUUCGAUGGUAGGAUAGUGGCCUACCAUGGUUUCAACGGGUAACGGGGAAUUAGGGUUCUAUUCCGGAGAGGGAGCCUGAGAAACGGCUACCACAUCCAAGGAAGGCAGCAGGCGCGCAAAUUACCCAAUCCCGACACGGGGAGGUAGUGACAAUAAAUACUGAUGCAGAGCUCUUUAGGGUUUUGCAAUUGGAAUGAGUACAACUUAAAUCCCUUAACGAGGAACAAUUGGAGGGCAAGUCUGGUGCCAGCAGCCGCGGUAAUUCCAGCUCCAAUAGCGUAUAUUAAAGUUGUUGCAGUUAAAAAGCUCGUAGUUGAACCUUGGGCCUGGCUGGCCGGUCCGCCUCACCGCGUGCACUGGUCCGGCCGGGCCUUUCCUUCUGGGGAGCCGCAUGCCCUUCACUGGGUGUGU